GACUACUACUAUCAGGAUUCGGCUUAGCCAUGCGAGGUAUUUGUAGCAAUACAAACCGCACUGCUCAGUAACACGUAGUUAAUCUACCCUUAGGACGGGGAUAAUCUUGGGAAACUGAGCGUAAUACCCGAUAGGCGAUAAUUGCUGGAAGGCAUCUUCGCCCAAAGCAGCAAUGUGCCUAAGGAUGGGACUGCGUCGGAUUAGCUCGUUGUUGAGGUAACUGCUCAACAAGGCUAUAAUCUGUACGGGUCGUGAGAGCGAUAGCCCGGAGAUGGCUUCUGAGACAUUAAGCCAGGCCCCACGGGGCGCAGCAGGCGCGAAAACUUUGCAAUGCCCGAAAGGGUGACAAGGGAAUCCUGAGUGAUAUCGCAAUGCGGUAUCUUUUGUAUACUGUAAAUAGGUGUACGAAUAAGGGGUGGGUAAGACGGUUGCCAGCCGCCGCGGUAAUUCGAAGAAUCGAAUUAAUAACAAGAACUGGCAUGAAGUGUAGCAAUACAUUUCAAUUCUUGACUUUCCGGUUCUUCGAACCGUAAAUAACCGCGCCCCAAGUUGUAGUCACGUUUAUUGGGCCUAGAGCGUCCGUAGCUGGUUCGAUAAGUCUCUGGUGAAAACCGUUAGUAAACUAACGGGAGUGCUGGAGAUACUAUCAAACUUGAGACCGGGAGAGGCUAGGAGUAUUCCGCAGGUAAGGGUAAAAUCUUUUAAUCUGCGGAGGACUACCUGUGGCGAAGGCGCCUAGCUGGAACGGGUCUGACAGUGAGGGACGAAAGCGUGGGGAGCGACCGGGAUUAGAUACCCCGUUAGUCCACGCCGUAAACGAUGCCCACUUGGUGUCGCACAAUCUUCGAGAUUCUGCGGUGCCGUAGCGAAGGUGUUAAGUGGGCCGCCUGGGGAGUACGACCGCAAGGUUGAAACUCGACUCAACGGAAUUGAAAUGUUGAUUCGUUCAACAAACUUAAGGGA
This 963-nucleotide ribosomal RNA is filed under the name uncultured archaeon. RNAcentral's name for it is "bacterial SSU rRNA". It matches the Rfam family "Archaeal small subunit ribosomal RNA", at positions 21 to 897 of the family's 1478-position model. The record is from RNAcentral.